Molecule: small nuclear RNA, 104 nt
Organism: Artibeus jamaicensis (Jamaican fruit-eating bat)
Lineage: Eukaryota; Metazoa; Chordata; Mammalia; Chiroptera; Phyllostomidae
Source: RefSeq, a predicted model, not a curated record
GUACUUGAUUUGGCAGCACACAUGCUAAAAUUAAAACAAUACAGAGAUUAGCAUGGCUCCUGCAUAAGAAUGACAUGCAAAUUCAUGAAGUAUUCCAUGUUUCU